This 160-nucleotide unclassified non-coding RNA is filed under the name uncultured Rozellomycota. RNAcentral describes it as "uncultured Cryptomycota sequence contains ITS1". The record is from RNAcentral. Lineage: Eukaryota; Fungi; Rozellomycota.
UCAUGUCACUCAGUCAUGCUGCCGCGUGAACUGAGUGACAUGAUAAUUGUGGGGAACUUCUUGUUCUUCUGCAAAUAUUAAUCCGCCGGCGGCUAUAAUGGCAGCUGGCUGUGAUAUAAAUGCGUGUUAUGUUGACAGUGUGUGUAAAAAUUAAUAUUGA